UUCGUGGCGACAUGGAAUCGGAAGGGAGCGGGCGGCAAACUUUCGGACUGGGGAACACGAAAGUCAUAAGACGCUGGAUAUUAUGGAAAAGUCUGCGCACCAAAACAAAUCUCUUGUUGCCGAAGGUGAUGCUAAGUUAACGAAACGGAUGUUGGAAACGAUCCAUUU
Geobacillus sp. Y4.1MC1 is the source of this 168-nucleotide non-coding RNA. Lineage: Bacteria; Bacillati; Bacillota; Bacilli; Caryophanales; Anoxybacillaceae. The record is from Rfam.